CACUUCCGGCGCACUUCCACCAUGGCUGAAACAAAGGCGAGAUGUCACUGCUCUCUGUUCCACUUUGUACAUCUAACAAACAACACCAACCCUACUUAAGUUUUCAUGGAUUCCCGACUGAAAUGAGUCUAAGGAAGAAGUGGAUUCAAGCGGUUCGCCGGGAUGAAGGGCCAAACUUUAAAAUAAAACAAGGUAGCAUGUUUGUUUGUAGCCGGCACUUUAGUGAAUCAGACUACAAACGCUACAGCUAGCAACCAACCGGGGUCACACCAAGUGACUGAAAAUCGGGUCUUUACCCUCCCGUUUCCAGUGGAACAACUGGGGACUGCCAAGAAGGGGGUCUGUUUAUAAAAGAGCAUCAACUCGCUUAGGCCAUGACGUUCACCCAUCCCUUCCUCUGGAGCAACCGCUGCCCUGUGAAUAAGAGCCGAUGGAGGAGAUCUCAGCUUCGGUGGUGAUGACAGAACAUGAUUUCGGUUCUGCUCCUAAACCAGAGCUGACUGAACGAAGUGGACUGCUGGAUUUACUGGAGCCAGGAGAUGGCUGCAUGGCAGACAAGGGUUUCACCAUAGAGAAGCCACUAGCUGAUCGUGGGGCAACGCUGAUUAUACCACCCUUCAAGAUGACAGUUCACUGAAGAGGAUGCUCUGAAAACACAAGCAAUCGCUCGACUUCGAAUCCUCGUAGAAAGAGCAAUAGGCAGAGUCAAGGAAUACCGCAUCUGGGAACGCACUGUCCUUUCACCUUGUCUGCGACAGUCAAUCAGCUGUGGACCGUCUGCUGUGUGAUGACCAACUUCCAGGGACCACUUGAUUUAAAAGGCUACAUCCCUGUUGAAGUGUUUCUACUCAAACAU
Molecule: long non-coding RNA, 856 nt
Organism: Gadus morhua (Atlantic cod)
Lineage: Eukaryota; Metazoa; Chordata; Actinopteri; Gadiformes; Gadidae
Exons: 3
Source: RefSeq, a predicted model, not a curated record